CCUACGGGUGGCAGCAGUGGGGAAUAUUGCACAAUGGGGGAAACCCUGAUGCAGCGACGCCGCGUGAGCGAAGAAGUAUCUCGGUAUGUAAAGCUCUAUCAGCAGGGAAGAAGAUGACGGUACCUGACUAAGAAGCACCGGCUAAAUACGUGCCAGCAGCCGCGGUAAUACGUAUGGUGCAAGCGUUAUCCGGAUUUACUGGGUGUAAAGGGAGCGUAGACGGAGAAGCAAGUCUGGAGUGAAAGCCCGGGGCUCAACCCCGGGACUGCUUUGGAAACUGUUUGUCUAGAGUGCCGGAGAGGUAAGCGGAAUUCCUAGUGUAGCGGUGAAAUGCGUAGAUAUUAGGAGGAACACCAGUGGCGAAGGCGGCUUACUGGACGGUAACUGACGUUGAGGCUCGAAAGCGUGGGGAGCAAACAGGAUUAGAUACCCCUGUAGUC
This 440-nucleotide ribosomal RNA is filed under the name uncultured bacterium. RNAcentral describes it as "bacterial SSU rRNA". It matches the Rfam family "Bacterial small subunit ribosomal RNA", at positions 338 to 795 of the family's 1533-position model. The record is from RNAcentral.